RNAcentral lists this non-coding RNA (23 nucleotides) under Arabidopsis thaliana (thale cress). The record is from RNAcentral. Lineage: Eukaryota; Viridiplantae; Streptophyta; Magnoliopsida; Brassicales; Brassicaceae.
GACGGCAUGGGAUUCAACGGCAU